UCGAACGCUGGCGGCAGGCUUAACACAUGCAAGUCGAGCGCUCCGCAAGGGGUGCGGCAGAUGGGUGAGUAACACGUGGGAAUUUGCCUUUUGGUUCGGCACAACCCAGGGACACUUGGGCUAAUACUGGAUAAGCCCUUACGGGGAAAGCUUUAUCGCCAAAAGACCGGCCCGCGUCUGAUUAGCUAGUUGGUGGGGUAAUGGCCCACCGAGGCUACGAUCAGUAGCUGGUCUGAGCGGAUGAGCAGCCACAUUGGGACUGCGACACGGCCCGGGAUCCUUCGGGAGGCAGCAGUGGGGGAUAUUGGACAAGGGGCGCAAGCCUGAUCCAGCCAUGCCGUGCGAGUGAUGAAGGUCUUCGGAUUGUAAAACUCUUUUCACCUGGGAAGAUAAUGACGGUACCCGGAGAAGAAGCUCCGGCUAACUUCGUGCCAGCCGCCGCGGUAA
This 447-nucleotide ribosomal RNA is filed under the name uncultured bacterium. RNAcentral's name for it is "partial 16S ribosomal RNA". It matches the Rfam family "Bacterial small subunit ribosomal RNA", at positions 30 to 523 of the family's 1533-position model. The record is from RNAcentral.